RNAcentral lists this ribosomal RNA (390 nucleotides) under uncultured organism. RNAcentral's name for it is "bacterial SSU rRNA". It matches the Rfam family "Bacterial small subunit ribosomal RNA", at positions 45 to 433 of the family's 1533-position model. The record is from RNAcentral.
CGCCUAACACAUGCAAGUCGAGCGGUAGCAUGGUAAGUAGCAAUACUUAUUGAUGACGAGCGGGGGACGGGUGAGUAAGACGUAGGAACUUGCCUUUUAGAGGGGGACAACCAAGGGAAACUUUGGCUAAUACCGCGUAAACUCGGAAGAGGAAAGCUGCCCGGAAGGGUGGCGCUAAAAGAGAGGCCUGCGUCCGAUUAGCUAGUUGGUGAGGUAAAGGCUCACCAAGGCGAUGAUCGGUAACUGGUCUGAGAGGACGACCAGUCACACUGGGACUGAGACACGGCCCAGACUCCUACGGGAGGCAGCAGUGGGGAAUAUUGGACAAUGGGGGCAACCCUGAUCCAGCGAUGCCGCGUGAGUGAAGAAGGCCUUCGGGUUGUAAAGCUC